GGCGAACGGGUGAGUAACACGUGAGCAACCUGCCCCCGACUCCGGGAUAAGCGGUGGAAACGCCGUCUAAUACCGGAUACGACCGGCCACCUCAUGGUGGCGGGUGGAAAGUUUUUCGGUCGGGGAUGGGCUCGCGGCCUAUCAGCUUGUUGGUGGGGUAAAGGCCUACCAAGGCGAUUACGGGUAGCCGGCCUGAGAGGGCGACCGGCCACACUGGGACUGAGACACGGCCCAGACUCCUGCGGGAGGCAGCAGUGGGGAAUAUUGCGCAAUGGGCGAAAGCCUGACGCAGCGACGCCGCGUGGGGGAUGACGGCCUUCGGGUUGUAAACCUCUUUUACCACCAACGCAGGCUCCCGGUUCUCCGGGGGUUGACGGUAGGUGGGGAAUAAGGACCGGCUAACUACGUGCCAGCAGCCGCGGUAAUACGUAGGGUCCGAGCGUUGUCCGGAAUUAUUGGGCGUAAAGAGCUCGUAGGCGGCGUGUCGCGUCUGCUGUGAAAGACCGGGGCUUAACUCCGGUUCUGCAGGUGGAUACGGGCAUGCUAGAGGUAGGUAGGGGAGACUGGAAUUCCUGGUGUAGCGGGUGAAAUGCGCAGAUAUCAGGAGGAACACCGGUGGGCGAAGGCGGGGUCUCUGGGGCCUUACCUGACGCUGGAGGAGCGAAAGCAUGGGGGAGGCGAAACAGGAUUAGAUACCCCU
RNAcentral lists this ribosomal RNA (700 nucleotides) under Gammaproteobacteria bacterium. RNAcentral's name for it is "bacterial SSU rRNA". It matches the Rfam family "Bacterial small subunit ribosomal RNA", at positions 97 to 788 of the family's 1533-position model. The record is from RNAcentral. Lineage: Bacteria; Pseudomonadati; Pseudomonadota; Gammaproteobacteria.